UUGAGACUUGACUUGCCUUGCCCAUCAGGCCUCUCCGCAUGACCUUGUCGUGGGUGGGAUCUCCUGUGCUGGCUCCCGGCAUCAGCCUUGUGGGCUCCGUGGUCAGUGUGGCAGCUGCUCCACUCUGCCUUCAUCUCACACUGUUCAGGGACUUUUCCCACUUGCGGUUGACCAGAGGGGCUGACUGCUUCCCGUCUCUUGCACCACCGUCCCCUGAUUUCUCCUUGCAAUGGGUGAUGGGCUGCCCAGGCUGUAUUUGUGGGUCUGAUAACCGCCAAGUCUCAAGUCCACCUUGGCCUUCAGGAUUCGGCCAUGUGGGGGACGCUCUUCCCUCCGAGAUGGUCACCAGACUGUUCGAGGGCAUGCGGAGGGUGGAUGGCAGCGGGAAGGCAAAGGGGCCCAGCGAGCGCGUCUCCCAGGAACAGUUCACAGCAUCCAUGUCCCACCUGUUGAAAGGAACUGCCGAGGAGAAGAGUCUUGUGAUCCUGAACAUGAUUUCUGCCUCAGGAGGUCCCGUGAAAGCAAGAGAUGUCCACAAGUUUACAGAGGACUUGGUUGGCUCUGUGGUACACGUGCUAAACUACAGACGGCAGCUGCGAGGCUGGAGUCAGAAGCCACCCCCAGGCUCCCCAUCCAGGGUGCAGGUGCUGGCUGCCCAGCUGUGCUCCGAGAUGAGGCUUCAAGGUGGCGGGAAGCUUCUGGGCCCUCAGUGGCUGGACCAUGACUGUGACCGGGCCGUGCUUGAGGACUGGGUGUUCCGGGCCCACCACGUGGCCACGUUUCUGAGCCUGGUCAUCCACCAGGGCUUCCUCCUCCUGCGCUCGUCCCUUGAGCUGGCCACCCUGGUCCCUGAGCGCCAGGUGGACCCUCAGCGGGAGUUUGCCAGCAUCCUGGAUGUCCUGUCCGUCAUCUACAUCAACUCGCACCUGCCCCAGGAGCGGCGGCUCCGCUGGCGCCUGCUCUUCGCGACUGAGCUCCACGGGAACAGCUUCGCCCAGCUCUGCGGGCGCAUCGCACACGGAGGGCCCUGCCUGGUGCUGCUGGAGGACUGCGACGGGCACGUGUUCGGGGGCUUCGCCUCCUGCUCCUGGGAAGUCAAGCCUCAGUUUCAAGGGGACGACAGGUGCUUCCUGUUCUCCAUCUCCCCCAGCAUGGCCGUGUACACCUGCACGGGCUACAACGACCACUACAUGUACCUGAAUCAAGGGCAGCAGACCAUCCCCAACGGCCUGGGCAUGGGCGGACAGCACGGUUACUUUGGGCUGUGGAUCGACGUUGAUUUCGGGAAAGGACACAGCAAGGCCAAGCCCACGUGCACCACGUACGGCAGCCCUCAGCUGUCGGCCCAGGAGGACUUCCAGUUCCAGAAGAUGGAGGUGUGGGCGGUGGGAGACGCCCCGAAGGCAGAGCCGGUCAGGAAAACCAGGAGCAUUCUGGACAUCGACCCCGAGGCCCGGGCCCUGCUGGAAGCCAGUGGGCGGGGCCGCCACAGCGAAGGGCUCCGGGAGGUUCCCGAUGAGCAGUGAUGACAGCCAGCGCAGGCCACCCUGGAGCCAGAGCUCAGCCUGCCCACCCUCCUGCGUCCCGCGGAGGCCUGACUUUGGUCCAGAGCGUGCGGGUCACAUCCUGGCGGUCCCGGCGGUGCCCAGUCUGCACAGAGUACAGUUUCCCUGUUGCCAUAUGUCCAUCGGCGGUGGUGUCUCCCCCAGAAUCCCGAGCAUACAGCUAGCAACCUGAUCCUUAGACUUGGCUCAUGCCCUAGGGAUGAAAUCCAAAGAGGACGCUGAGAUGUUGAGACUGGCUGGAACUGCCAUCUUUGGGGACUGGAGUUCUUGCAGUGGUGGUAGGGGUGGGGGGGUCGUUUCCACUCUCUUGGGGUCACUGGGCCUCUGCUCAGGCCCCCCAUUUAAGAGCCUUGAGGCUCCAUUUCUUCUUGUCAAGGGCAGAGGUGCUCAGCUGGGAAUCCCUGUGCUUUGAGGAGUAACUUCCUCUGAUACGAAAUUUCUAUAUUUCUAAAAAAAAAUAAGCGUUAGCAGUGUACUAAUGGGGGAAAUAGGAGAUUUUGAAGGUGACAGUGACCUGGGUCUUCAGUAGGGUUGGAUGUCGGCCUUUCUCAGCUUUUUUAGGUGGGUCUGUGCUUGGAGCACAUGGGAAGCCAGGAGGUGAGCAGAGCAGCAGCGUGGCGGUCCUGUUUCUGAUGUAAAUGUGGGCACACUCAGGGCCGAGGGUCGUGCUGAUACACGUGCCGCCUGUCGCAGGAGCUGGGGGCGAGUGACUCGACAGGACCGGCCUGGGCUCCUGGCCUCCAGAGUCGCUCCGUGCUGCCCCCCAGGGGAUGGUGUGUACCGCAGCCUUGUGGACUUGCCGUAAACAGUGACCCUGCCAUGCUAGCGGAGAUGUGGGUGGGCUGGGCCCUGUCCAGUCCAGCCCCGUCCCUCGGGGGUGGCCCAGAGAACCUCCUGACACACUGAGAAUCGAGCUCAGGGGUGUUGCAGGCUCAGCUAAGACACCUGCCUCUGUCUUCCCCUGCUCCACGCUGUCCUGCAGAUCUGACAAUAAAUGCUGCCUUAUUCUCGAGUCGGCCCUGAUUAUAAGCCAUCGUGAACCGAAGCUGUGUGCACUUGCGGGCUCUGCGCUUUCUACAGGAGGCUCAUGAGACCUGCUGCUGAGCCCCGAGCGGAAGGCCUUGCAAGCGGGUCUUCACAAGGAAACGCACGCUCGCAACAGUGACACGCAUGCUCUGUCCUGAUUGACUUUCCUUAUAAAAGGGCCAGUUUUAACAGCUUCUCAGGUGCGUUCUGUGGCUUCCUGACUGAUGGGAAGCAGACACAGGAUGUUAGGAUCCUCAGAUAUCCUUACCAUAAUCUGAAGAAUUAGGCCCCGAGUCUUCAGUCUGUUACAGAUUUUUUAUAAAAAUGCAGUGGAAUAAUACCUCACAAAUAUUAAAAGGUCCAUUCAGUACCAUUUACUGUCUGUGGCUGUCAGAGAGGCUGGAGGUGUCCGGGCCUGUUUUUUCCUGCUUCGUGCCUCUUCUCACAAGAGUGCAGGUCAUGCCCAGGGGCCUGAUGGUUUCCCAGGAUAGCUCAACUAUAGGAUGGGAGGAGGUGCCCGGCCCAGGCGGUUGGUAACCCAGGGGACGUGCCCUUGUGAAGGGCACGUGGGCAUGGGGCAGCCAUGGGACCCCAUGAGCUGAGGGCCUGCGCACAGUGACCAGUGACCAGAGGAACCACACCCCUCCUGGGCCUGGGAAACCUGCAGUGCCAGCUUUAACACAUGAGGAAUUUGUUCUUUGAUAAAAAGGGGAUAAAAAUUCCGGUUGUAUGGGAGGUGGCCUCCCUCCCUUAUCAGGAGACAGAUCAGGGUCCCUGAAGGUGCUGGAAGGAAGGGCUGAAAAGCACUGUGUUAACGUUUUAACACAUGGCUUUUAAACAACUUUUCAAAGCAUGGCUGUAGUUAACUUUUUUCCCAUCAUAGUUACUUUUCGGAAAAUUUUUUCUAUUGAAGGAAGGAUGCUUUAAAUCUCUGCUGCUGGUAAGUCGCUUCAGUCGUGUCCGACUCUGUGCGAUCCCAUAGACGGCAGCUGCCCACCAGGCUCCGCCGUCCCUGGGAUUCUCCAGGCAAGAACACUGGAGUGGGUUGCCAUUUCCUUCUCCAGUGCUUAAAUUCUCUGGUGCUUUACAAGUUUCAAAAGUCUCACACACAUGAUUUUGUAACCCCAUAAUUUUCCCCCAGCCCCCUCUAUUGCCCCGCUCCACUGGUAACCCCUAGUUUGUUCUCUGUAUUUGUGAGUCUGCUGCUUGUUUGUUUGACUCGGUAGUUUAUUUCUUAGAUUUCAUGUAUAAGCGAUACCAGACCGUAUUUAUCUUUGUCUGACUUCAGUUGGCACAAUGCCCUCCAAGUCCAUCCAUGUUGCCGCUAAUGGCAGAACUUCAUGGUGUUUUUAUGGGUGAGCAGUAUUCCAUCUCACACACACACACACCCCUUCUUUAUCCAUUCAUCUGUUGAUGGACCCACUAUAUUUUCUGAUUAAAAGAUUAGCUUAUGCAUACGUGGCAAAAGAGGUCGAAAUACCAAAGAGUGUAGCCUGAAAGCUCAGCCUAACUCCUGUGCCCCUCUAGCCUUUUCUUCCCUAGAGGUAAGGUGUUACACACCCUGGCCUGUCCCUCACCUUUUUUGGGUAGAAAUGGCUCUGUAUCUCCCCCUUUGUUCUCCCCGACUGUGUGACGUCCCGUGAGAUGGAUGCCCCAUUCCUUCCGGCGUUCAACCAUCCCCGGCUUGGGAACGGUCUGUCUGGAACUGUUUGCCGCUGGAGGGAACAUCGUUUAUGCUCGUCUUUCUGUGGUUCUGUCUGGAGGAUGCACCUUUCGAAGCCAAGUUACUGGAUCAAAAGUGACCUCAGGUGACCUCAGCCUGCAGCAGCGUGAAGCAGGGUUUCGGUUCCCAGCCAGCGAUGGAGGUCAGGUUGCGGCAGUGAGAGAGUGGAAGCCUAGCCCCCAGACCAGUGGUCAGGGACAGGGCAGUGCCAACUCCUGCCCAAGCCUCUGGCCUGCCCUGGAGACGUCGGUCUCACCGGCCCCAACAACCGGGUGAGCUAAUUAAUUACUUAACACAAAUGUCCUUCUCUCUUUCUCUGCUCUCCUCCUGUGGUUUGAUUUCUCUGGAAAGCCCUGGGUCGGUGGGGGGGGGGGGGGGUCACAGCUGUGGCCGCAUUGCACGGCAGGUGGAGUUCCGUUUCUGGUUCCCCGUGGUUGGUUCUGCCUGGCUGCAGACCUCUCUGCCAUCUUUCAGCUGCAAGGGUGGGCAUGUGCUGAGAGCAGUCUUGGGGGCUCGCCUGGUGGUCCAGUGGUUGGGACUCUGCGUUUCCACUGUGGUGGGCGUGGGUUCCAUCCCUUUGAGGGAACUAAGAUCCCGCCUGCCACACAGUGUGGCCAAAAAAAACCCCACCACCAACAAAGCCAGUCUUGGGGCUCAGGCUGUGGGAAGUCCUGGUUCUGGGGGGAGAGGUCACACCCUGCUCAGCUUCAGAAGCCCAGGGCCUCUCCGCUGAGGCUGCUCAGGCUGUGACUGGCUCUCGCCACAUGCUCCGGGGUCACGAACACAAGGCUGUACGUUCCCCACUUGGCCACUUGUAGGUAAGUGCGGAUUAAAGCCAACAGAAUAAUCAUCGGGCCCCCUGGCAUCACCGUUAAAGAUAGCCAGAGCCCCCAUUUUGUGGAUGAGGACACGGGCAGAGUGACCAGAAGUCCAGACCCUGCCCCUGCUCUUCCGUCCUCGCCCCCCACCCCGUGUCCCCUCCUGCCAGGGGCUGCAUGGCACCGAGCUAUGGCACAAACACGGAGCCAGACACGGUUCAUAAAAAUCACCGUCAUUUAAUAAAUAGUGCUGGCUCCUCACGGUUCGGCCUGGGGCCUGGCAGCACGGAGCGGUGGAUGCACGUGGGGACCGAGGACUCAGGGCUGGGCCUGCACUCCCCACCGGUUCCCCAGGAACAGCCAGGUGAGCGGGCCUGACGCUGUCAUGUCCCCAGACACCUCUUGGAGGGACGGGGCAGGCGGAGGGCCACAGUCACAUAAAAAAA
Capra hircus (goat) is the source of this 5578-nucleotide RNA transcript. It is a transcript of the gene named TBC/LysM-associated domain containing 1, with no coding region annotated. The transcript has 8 exons. The record is from RefSeq and is a predicted model, not a curated record. Lineage: Eukaryota; Metazoa; Chordata; Mammalia; Artiodactyla; Bovidae.